UAGAAACCUAGGCAAGCAGCCAUUCCUAGGGACAUUGCAGGACAACCUCAUUGAGAUGGACAUUCUCAGCGCCUCCCGCCAUGAUGGGGCUUACAGUGACGGGCACUUCCUCUUCAAGCCCGGAGGCACCUCCCCACUCUUCUGCACCACGUCCCCAGGGUACCCCCUAACGUCUAGCACCGUGUAUUCGCCCCCACCCCGGCCCCUGCCCCGCAGCACCUUUUCGAGACCAGCCUUUAACCUCAAGAAGCCUUCCAAGUACUGCAACUGGAAGUGUGCGGCACUAAGCGCCAUCCUCAUCUCAGCUACGCUCGUCAUCCUGCUCGCAUACUUUGUGGCCAUGCACCUGUUUGGCCUAAACUGGCACCUGCAGCCGAUGGAGGGGCAGAUGUAUG
Molecule: long non-coding RNA, 395 nt
Filed under: Rattus norvegicus (Norway rat)
Lineage: Eukaryota; Metazoa; Chordata; Mammalia; Rodentia; Muridae
Description: long non-coding RNA NONRATT000962
Source: RNAcentral